This 216-nucleotide unclassified non-coding RNA is filed under the name uncultured fungus. RNAcentral describes it as "sequence contains ITS2". The record is from RNAcentral. Lineage: Eukaryota; Fungi.
AACGCACAUUGCGCCCCUCUGACGGGGGGCAUGCCUGUCUGAGCGUCGUUUAGACCCAUGAGGCUCGGAUUGAGCCCGUGCUGGGCCCCGCCCUCUGAGGGCGUCGCCUCGAACGGAUUGGUGUCCCCGAGCGGAUGAGACCCACUGGGGCUGACCGCUUGGAGGGCCAUGAUCGGACUUGACCUCAGAUCAGGUAGGACAACCGCCUGAACUUAA